RNAcentral lists this ribosomal RNA (425 nucleotides) under uncultured eukaryote. RNAcentral's name for it is "bacterial SSU rRNA". It matches the Rfam family "Eukaryotic small subunit ribosomal RNA", at positions 592 to 1018 of the family's 1831-position model. The record is from RNAcentral.
CAAUAGCGUAUAUUAAAGUUGUUGCAGUUAAAAGCUCGUAGUUGGAUUUCUGGCUGGAGCGAUCGGUCCGCCCCGCAAGGGGUGUGUACUAGCGUCGUCUCCGACCAUCCUUGUGGGAACUGUGCGGCCGUUAACUCGGUUGUAUAUGGGAACACAUCGUUUACUGUGAAAAAUUAGAGUGUUUAAAGCAGGCUUAAGCCGUUGAAUACAUUAGCAUGGAAUAAUAAGAUAAGACUUGGGUCAUUAUUUUGUUGGUUUGCGGAUCGAGGUAAUGAUUAAUAGGGAUAGUUGGGGGUAUUCAUAUUUAAUUGUCAGAGGUGAAAUUCUUAGAUUGCGUUACGGCGAACUACUGCGAAAGCAUUUGCCAAAGAUGUUUUCAUUGAUCAAGAACGAAAGUAUGGGGAUCGAAGACGAUUAGAUACCAU